CGCAUAGUCCAAGUUGAGAGACAAGCAGGGGAAAAAGAGUUUUGCAAUACAAGUUACCAAUCAGCUAAGUUUUUGGAUUGCAUGUGGAUAAGAUUUUGAAGGAUGAAGAUUGGAGUUGGUGGAAGACUCAUCCUUUUCACCACCACCAUGAAACCAGACAACCCCAAAACUAAAAUGAAUUAUUUUUUAAAAAACA
Arabidopsis thaliana (thale cress) is the source of this 196-nucleotide RNA transcript. RefSeq lists it as uncharacterized. The transcript has 2 exons. Lineage: Eukaryota; Viridiplantae; Streptophyta; Magnoliopsida; Brassicales; Brassicaceae. The record is from RefSeq.